Molecule: long non-coding RNA, 337 nt
Filed under: Lathyrus oleraceus (garden pea)
Lineage: Eukaryota; Viridiplantae; Streptophyta; Magnoliopsida; Fabales; Fabaceae
Description: Pisum sativum (pea) long non-coding RNA (PSAT_LNC040666)
Source: RNAcentral
GGAGAUGUAUCUCCAAAAUUUCCUGCAACUUUCAGGUUUGUCAAUGCAGGUAAUGCAGACAACCAAACCCCCAAAAAUAAUGCUUUAAUCGUUAUUUUUAACCAUGAAAUACAUUUUUCCGAAUGUAUAAACUAUCGUUUAUACAAAAACUAUAUAUUUCUUACCUUAAUCGUCAAUUUCUACUCAUUUAUACAAAAAUUAUUUAUUUCUUACCUUAAUCAUCAAUUUCUACUCAUUUAUACAAAAACUCAAAAAAAAAAUCAAAAAAAAAAAACUUACAAAUCUUAAUGUGAUUGAUUCAUCAACUCAGUGUUAAAUGAUGUCUUUGAUGUACUUG